CCUACGGGUGGCUGCAGUGGGGAAUAUUGCACAAUGGGGGAAACCCUGAUGCAGCGACGCCGCGUGCGCGAUGAAGUAUUUCGGUAUGUAAAGCUCUAUCAGCAGGGAAGAAAAUGACGGUACCUGACUAAGAAUCCCUGGCUAACUACGUGCCAGCAGCCGCGGUAAUACGUAGGGGGCAAGCGUUAUCCGGAUUUACUGGGUGUAAAGGGAGCGUAGACGGCGGUGCAGGCCAGUUGUGAAAGCCCGGGGCUCAAUCCCGGGACUGCAUUUGGAACUGUGCUGCUAGAGUGUCGGAGAGGCAGGCGGAAUUCGUGGUGUAGCGGUGAAAUGCGUAGAUAUUAGGAAGAACCCCGGUGGCGAAGGCAGCCUGCUGGACGAUGACUGACGUUGAGGCUCGAAAGCGUGGGGAGCAAACAGGAUUAGAUACCCCAGUAGUC
RNAcentral lists this ribosomal RNA (440 nucleotides) under uncultured bacterium. RNAcentral's name for it is "partial 16S ribosomal RNA". It matches the Rfam family "Bacterial small subunit ribosomal RNA", at positions 338 to 795 of the family's 1533-position model. The record is from RNAcentral.